ACGACCUUACUUAAAUAGGAUCUGUUAUAUAGGCUCGUACCUCUUUAUUAUUGAUUUCUAAGGAGAUCGAAAACCGUCUUUGGACGAUGAGUCAUAGCUUCUUGACCAGAGCGUGAUUAACCACACCAUUUGCUCGGUGUCGAAGGUGGUGGUGUAGUAGCGGGUCAUUCUCGGCUUGCCUUGUGAAGUUGGGGGGAGGGGGCAGUCUUGCAGCUGUCUAACAAAGA
Salvia splendens (bonfire salvia) is the source of this 227-nucleotide small nucleolar RNA. RefSeq annotates it as small nucleolar RNA U3. The record is from RefSeq and is a predicted model, not a curated record. NCBI's taxonomy places the organism in Eukaryota, Viridiplantae, Streptophyta, Magnoliopsida, Lamiales, Lamiaceae. The transcript has a single exon.